Aedes albopictus (Asian tiger mosquito) is the source of this 47-nucleotide non-coding RNA. The record is from Rfam. Lineage: Eukaryota; Metazoa; Arthropoda; Insecta; Diptera; Culicidae.
CAAACGGCCCUUUUCAGGGCCACCGAAAUCGUUCCACGGAAGAGUUA